This is a long non-coding RNA of Salvelinus sp. IW2-2015, 1105 nucleotides long. RefSeq lists it as uncharacterized. NCBI's taxonomy places the organism in Eukaryota, Metazoa, Chordata, Actinopteri, Salmoniformes, Salmonidae. The record is from RefSeq and is a predicted model, not a curated record.
CAGUUCCUGGAACAACUGUCAGAGGAUGAAAGUAGACAGUAUUGCCACCGACCGGGGCCUCGACAUGAGGCUACAGCUCGUUCUGUCAACUUGUCAAACUAGAAGGGACGGCUUUGGUGGAAAGCAAGACCCUGGCCCACAACCUACAGCGAAGGUUAAAGGUCCAGAAAGAGAGGUCUGAGAGUAAGGAGUUCCACAUAAAGCUGUUGAGGAGGAAAGUGUCUGAGCUAGUGGAGGAGAAGRGGAGUUGCUCAGCCCUGGCCGUGGAGCGAGAUGACGCCCCUGUGACCGCCAGCAAGCUGCAGUCUACAGAAGAAGGUGGAGCGACUGCAGGGGGAACUGGGUUCCAGUAAGGUCUCCAUCACAGAGCUCAAGGCCCAGCUGUCACAUACCAACAAGCUGAAGCUCAAAGUCCCGGAGCAGAGCGAGACCAUUGGGCAGCAGAGUAAGAGUCUGGAGGAGCUGGAGAAGGGGAAGGCCCAGCUAGAGGAGAGGCUGACUAGCCAGGACAGAUCUACAGAGACAGACCACUGGGCAGCAGAGUAAGAGUCUGGAGGAGCUGGAGAAGGGGAAGGCCCAGGUAGAGGAGAGGCUGACUACAGCCAGGACAGAUCUACAGAGCCAGGAGCACCAGGCCAGGGAGGCUCAGCAGCAGCUUACCACCCUCAGACAGACUCUGGCCCAGCUCACUGACAGUGAGAGAGAGGUGGGAGGAUGGAUGGAUACAUAGUCAUAUUAACACGCACAGGCAUGCAUGCACAAAUGGAUGCACUCAUAGAAAGACAGAAACACACAUGCACACACACACGUACAAACAGAAUGUCAUUUGAUUUAGGAGUACAGAAAAUAACAUCAGAAACCUGACUUGAGGUGUAUCUGCUCUAUUGUUUCAGUUGGUAGACUUCCGAAUGGUGGUCUCUCAGAAGUUAGGUCUGAACGUCACAGCCCUGGUGAUCUCUCAGAUGUUAGGUCUGGACGACACAGCCCUGGUGGUCUCUCAGAUGUUAGGUCUGGAAGUCACAGCCCUGGUGGUCUCUCAGGUCUGGACGUCACAGCCCUGGUGGUCUCUCAGAUGUUAGGUCUGGAAGUCACAGACCUGGUGGUC